AUGGCCAAAUACUGGUGGAGCAGUAACCUUGAUCACCGGUCUUUACAUUGGUUAUCUUGGGUUUCUUUGGCUGCACCAAAAGUUAAAGGAGGGAUGGGAUUCAAAGACUUGCAACUCUUUAAUUUAGCACUACUCGGCAAGCAUGGGUGGCGCUUGAUGACGAAUCCCAACUCUCUGUGUUCGCGGGUCUUGAAAGGAAGAUAUUUCCACUCCUGUGAUUUCAUGCAAGCUACUGCACCUAAGUUUUCUUCAGCUGUGUGGAGGGCUAUAAUCGUAGGCAGGGAAGUGUUGAAAUCGGGCUUGCUUAAGCGCAUUGGAAGCGGCACGACCGUUUCUAUCUGGGAGGACAAAUGGAUCCCUGAUACCAGAACUAUGACUCCGGUUGCUCACAUUGGUAAUGCGCAGCUACAACAAGUGUCUGAUCUUAUCGAUCCUGAAACUUGGCUCUGGAAAGAUCAGGUAAUCAGAGAGAACUUCAUACCAUCAGAUGCAGACGCCAUUCUGAACAUCCCCCUAUGGAUUGGCGGUGGUGAUGAUAUUUUGGCAUGGGCUUUGGAGAGAUCUGGUUCAUACACUAUCAAGUCAGCUUACCGCGCUCUCGUGAAUUAG
RNAcentral lists this ribosomal RNA (609 nucleotides) under Triticum aestivum (bread wheat). RNAcentral describes it as "partial small subunit ribosomal RNA". Lineage: Eukaryota; Viridiplantae; Streptophyta; Magnoliopsida; Poales; Poaceae. The record is from RNAcentral.